This 133-nucleotide microRNA precursor is filed under the name Euroglyphus maynei. Its description in RNAcentral is "mir-252 microRNA precursor family". It matches the Rfam family "mir-252 microRNA precursor family". The record is from Rfam by way of RNAcentral. Lineage: Eukaryota; Metazoa; Arthropoda; Arachnida; Sarcoptiformes; Pyroglyphidae.
AUUUGGUACUAAGUACUAGCGCCGCAGGAGUGUUUCAAUCAAAAAUUUUGUUUGUUUGUUUGCAUUAUUGAAAGAAUCCUAAAAUCAUAAGGAAUUCUUCUCACUCCUGCAGUACUAGUGCUUAUUGCUGCAU